This 339-nucleotide ribosomal RNA is filed under the name Nematoda environmental sample. RNAcentral's name for it is "SSU rRNA". It matches the Rfam family "Eukaryotic small subunit ribosomal RNA", at positions 1300 to 1665 of the family's 1831-position model. Lineage: Eukaryota; Metazoa; Nematoda. The record is from RNAcentral.
CGUGGAGCGAUUUGUCUGGUUUAUUCCGAUAACGAGCGAGACUCUAGCCUGCUAAAUAGUCGAGACAUUGCCUCGUGUCCACGACUUCUUAGAGGGAUUUUCGGCGUUCAGCCGCACGAGAUUGAGCAAUAACAGGUCUGUGAUGCCCUUAGAUGUCCGGGGCUGCACGCGCGCUACACUGGCGAAGGCAGCGUGCCUGUCCUGCCCCGAAAGGGGUGGGUAAACCAUUGAAAAUUUGCCGUGAUUGGGAUCGGAAAUUGCAAUUAUUUUCCGUGAACGAGGAAUUCCAAGUAAGUGCGAGUCAUCAACUCGCGUUGAAUACGUCCCUGCCCUUUGUAC